RNAcentral lists this ribosomal RNA (1292 nucleotides) under Staphylococcus epidermidis. RNAcentral's name for it is "bacterial SSU rRNA". It matches the Rfam family "Bacterial small subunit ribosomal RNA", at positions 60 to 1334 of the family's 1533-position model. Lineage: Bacteria; Bacillati; Bacillota; Bacilli; Caryophanales; Staphylococcaceae. The record is from RNAcentral.
AGUCGAGCGAACAGACGAGGAGCUUGCUCCUCUGACGUUAGCGGCGGACGGGUGAGUAACACGUGGAUAACCUACCUAUAAGACUGGGAUAACUUCGGGAAACCGGAGCUAAUACCGGAUAAUAUAUUGAACCGCAUGGUUCAAUAGUGAAAGACGGUUUUGCUGUCACUUAUAGAUGGAUCCGCGCCGCAUUAGCUAGUUGGUAAGGUAACGGCUUACCAAGGCAACGAUGCGUAGCCGACCUGAGAGGGUGAUCGGCCACACUGGAACUGAGACACGGUCCAGACUCCUACGGGAGGCAGCAGUAGGGAAUCUUCCGCAAUGGGCGAAAGCCUGACGGAGCAACGCCGCGUGAGUGAUGAAGGUCUUCGGAUCGUAAAACUCUGUUAUUAGGGAAGAACAAAUGUGUAAGUAACUAUGCACGUCUUGACGGUACCUAAUCAGAAAGCCACGGCUAACUACGUGCCAGCAGCCGCGGUAAUACGUAGGUGGCAAGCGUUAUCCGGAAUUAUUGGGCGUAAAGCGCGCGUAGGCGGUUUUUUAAGUCUGAUGUGAAAGCCCACGGCUCAACCGUGGAGGGUCAUUGGAAACUGGAAAACUUGAGUGCAGAAGAGGAAAGUGGAAUUCCAUGUGUAGCGGUGAAAUGCGCAGAGAUAUGGAGGAACACCAGUGGCGAAGGCGACUUUCUGGUCUGUAACUGACGCUGAUGUGCGAAAGCGUGGGGAUCAAACAGGAUUAGAUACCCUGGUAGUCCACGCCGUAAACGAUGAGUGCUAAGUGUUAGGGGGUUUCCGCCCCUUAGUGCUGCAGCUAACGCAUUAAGCACUCCGCCUGGGGAGUACGACCGCAAGGUUGAAACUCAAAGGAAUUGACGGGGACCCGCACAAGCGGUGGAGCAUGUGGUUUAAUUCGAAGCAACGCGAAGAACCUUACCAAAUCUUGACAUCUUCUGACCCCUCUAGAGAUAGAGUUUUCCCCUUCGGGGGACAGAGUGACAGGUGGUGCAUGGUUGUCGUCAGUCGUGUCGUGAGAUGUUGGGUUAAGUCCCGCAACGAGCGCAACCCUUAAGCUUAGUUGCCAUCAUUAAGUUGGGCACUCUAAGUUGACUGCCGGUGACAAACCGGAGGAAGGUGGGGAUGACGUCAAAUCAUCAUGCCCCUUAUGAUUUGGGCUACACACGUGCUACAAUGGACAAUACAAAGGGCAGCGAAACCGCGAGGUCAAGCAAAUCCCAUAAAGUUGUUCUCAGUUCGGAUUGUAGUCUGCAACUCGACUAUAUGAAGCUGGAAUCG